Molecule: transfer RNA, 73 nt
Filed under: Holochlora fruhstorferi
Lineage: Eukaryota; Metazoa; Arthropoda; Insecta; Orthoptera; Tettigoniidae
Description: tRNA-Ser
Source: RNAcentral
AGUUAAUAAGCUCCCAAAUUAAGCACUGUGUCUUGAAAACACAAGAUUAGAAGUUUAAUUCUUCUAUUAACUU